CUAAUAGCGUAUAUUAAAGUUGUUGCAGUUAAAAAGCUCGUAGUUGAAUUUCGGGGUUAGUAAGUUGGUCAUGCCUUUGGUAUGUACUGGCUUUACUGAUUCCUCCUUCUUGACGAACUGUAAUGUCAUUAAUUUGGUGUUGCAAGGAAUCAGGACUGUUACUUUGAAAAAAUUAGAGUGUUUAAAGCAGGCUUAAGCUUGAAUACAUUAGCAUGGAAUAAUGAAAUAGGACGUUAAUUCUAUUUUGUUGGUUUCUAGGGUCGACGUAAUGAUUAAUAGGGAUGGUUGGGGGCAUUAGUAUUCAAUUGUCAGAGGUGAAAUUCUUGGAUUUAUUGAAGACUAACUACUACGAAAGCAUUUGCCAAGGAUGUUUUCAUUAAUCAAGAACGAAAGUUAGGGGAUCGAAGACGAUCAGAUACCGUCGUAGUCUUAACCAUAAAUUAUGCCGACUAGGGAUCGGAUGAUGUUAAUUUUUUAAUGACUCA
This 485-nucleotide ribosomal RNA is filed under the name uncultured Glomeromycotina. RNAcentral describes it as "SSU rRNA". It matches the Rfam family "Eukaryotic small subunit ribosomal RNA", at positions 591 to 1078 of the family's 1831-position model. The record is from RNAcentral. Lineage: Eukaryota; Fungi; Glomeromycota.